AUCCAGUUGACGAGUCCUAAAUAGGACGAAAUGCGCACCCUGGAU
Molecule: non-coding RNA, 45 nt
Filed under: Trichobilharzia regenti
Lineage: Eukaryota; Metazoa; Platyhelminthes; Trematoda; Strigeidida; Schistosomatidae
Source: RNAcentral